AUUCCUCUUAACACUGCACUUGAAUCCCACUCAGAGACACAGCACUAGCUUCUCUCUGUUGAAUCUCGGGGUUAAGAUCUAAUUUUUCCAACUCUCUCAUCAUUUUCGUUUCCUUCACAAGUGAUUCUUAUGGGUUUUGCUGCAUCCUUUAGUGUGAAUUUCAUUCUUCAGUGUGAAUUUCACAAUGACUUGGGGCCACAGGUUUUCCCUUCCCUCCCUCCUGCCAUUCCUCCUUUCCUUCCCAUCCACCCUUCCUUUCUUCUGUCCAUAUUCAUUGACUGCCUACUACUGGCCAGGCUCCACUGGGGCACUAAAAUAAAUUAAGUUGCCAAUAAUCAGGUGGGAGAUGAAUAGGAUUUCAGGGGAACAGGUAACCUAUUCUCUAAUACAAGCUUGAGAGAAAAGUGACUUGAAGAGUUGGCAAAAAAUGUGGAGUUUUCUAGGCAACUUGUGGGUGGGUAAGCAGAGCCUGAGGGGAUACAGGAAUUAUAGUUCUUGCCCUGUAUAUCACCCCAAAUUUUCAGGUCUAGUUGGAAGCAACCAUUAGGCAAGGCGAAAAACAGUAGAACAUCAAUAUAGCGUGCCUCAGUUAAAUAUUUUUUGAACUGUUUUUGCACUGCAGAAGUGUUUGUUGAAUAGCUAACAGAAUCUAAGUUGAGAAGUAAACUUUAAGAAAUUGGACUAAUAUUGUGAUUUUUGAUAUUAUUGGUCAGAAUCAUUUCCCAUUUCUCAUUAUAAUAGUUAAAGCAAGUACCUGAUUUCUUAGUUUUUAAUUCUCCUAUAAGAAGUUAACCUUGCAGGAGAGGUGGUUUUCAGUGGUCAUUCCCUGAGGAAAAAUGCCUUCAGCCCAACCUCAGUAUAUACACAUGCGCGCGCGCGCGCGCGCACACACACACACACACACACACACACACACACACACACACCACUCCACCAUAUACCCACCAACUAUCCCUGAACCAUCCAAUGUAUUUUUUGCUGGUCUUAUUUCCAAAGCUAAGCAAAAGAAGAAGAGAUUGCUCUCCUGGCUGAUAGAAAAUCAUAGUAAGUUUUGAGAAAAAGCCAAGUAAAUAGUUUUCUGGAGUUCUUAUUCCAUCUCCCAUCCCAAACCUACCGUAAGAAUCCAAAAAAUUAUAGAAAUGGCUGGGAUUUUUAAUUUCAAAAGUCAGUGAUGUGAGUGAAAGGCUGUGAUCAAGAUUAAGCUUCAGAAAAGUAUCUCCGAGCUCCCAGAGAGUUGCUGUAGUGAGUGCUGAAUGUCUAUGGCACUAGUACUGGAAAGCAAUGUGGAGUGCACAAAAUUCCCUCAUCACUGUAGACAGCUGAAAUGCUCAGAAAAUUUUGAGGAAUCUCUGAAAAAUGCAAUGGGCUCAGCCCAAUAGUGAAGAGGUCUCAUGUGUUUCUGGUCUUGUAAAGACCAGAAAUGAAAUUUAACAUGCAUAUUUUUAAACACAUCAUUUAGAAGAGAAAUACUACUGAGCCAGAUAACUAUUGAAUUUUAUGAGUCCUAAUAAAAAAAAGGGAGGAGGUUGGCUAUAGGAAAAUAAGAUUUUUUGUGCUUAUUCUAUUUUGUGACGGUCCUUCCUUUUUUCCUUCUACUCAUAUUCAUAUUCGGAAGUUUGUGAGACUUCUCAAUUGCCCUUCUCUCCACCUUGGCAUUUUUCUUCUCUCUAGGAUCCUGACGUAUUUCUCUCGUGCCUCAAGGACGUUGACUUUGGAGAGAGCUGUUUUGAGUUUGAAUCAUGAUUUUGGCACUUACUGGCUUUGUGACUUGGGAAAAUUCUCUUGUUUGGCAUGUAUUUUCUCUUCCAUAAAAUAAGAAUUAUCAUCCUUACCUCACAGGAUGGUUAUGAGUAUAAACCAAGCUAAUAUAUGCCAAGUGCUUCAUACUUGCUGGCACCUAUAGACACUCAAUAAAUAUGAGUUUUCUUUCUCAGAAGAAUAACUGUUGUUUUUUAUAUUCAAAGCUAUAUUCUCUGUCAGUGUCCUCAAUAGUCCCAAACUGGGCAAACCUGGGGCUGGACACACAGAACACUGUGCCCUAUCCUUUGUUCGCCUGAGAGCCAGGGCCAGAAGUUAACACACAGCUUAGCAAACAAGUAUUUUCUUAAAAAAAAAAAUGUGGAGUGACUGCAAAGCUCACCUCUAAGGCUCUUUUCAGCUGACAUUAUGACAUUACGGGACUCUGCCUUCUAGGAUCUCCCAUGGCAGGCAAAUACCUCUGACACACCUCCACCCCAUGCAUACAUCUGACAAAACGGAAAAGAAUAAAGCUGCAAUUUGGAGGCCAAAGUGAGGCAAAAAGAAAGGCUGAUGUUGAGAAGCAAACUUACUGUUCCAGCCUGGGGUCCUCCCUGCUAUUGUUAACCAAAUUGAUGUUUUCUUUGGAAGACCACUCUGUCAGUUGAUGGCAGUGGACACUGUGUUGGGAGAAGAGUCAAGAUUCGACAUCUACCUCCUGGUUACCUACUUGAUUGAUGGUCUACACCACAGAAAUGUCCCACAUUUUUCCCACACCACAGCCCCUCAUAACCAAACUCUAUAAAGAGGAGGACUAGCUCCCACCCUCAGGCAUAUUUUCACUCUUCAUCCCAUUCUCUUCUCUUCUUACGAUGGAGCCCAGUCUGUUUGGCCUUGCCUAAGUAAGAAUGGCAUAGAGAAAUCUCUAAAAGGUCAGGGGUUCCCUGGGUGGAAAGAAUUACUGAUGAGUUUUUGUUCACAUUGAUGAAUGGGCAGUCAAUCAAUAUGAAAGGAAGGGAGGGAAGGAGGGGUAAGGAGAAGAGAGAAAGGGAGGAAAGAAGGGCUUGUAGACAGUAACUGAUGAGCAUGUAUAUAGUUGCUGAUGAAAUGAGGACUGAAAUGUGCUAGCAGCUCCUGUCUCAAAUCCACAGCUAAAAAAACCCAGAAAAUUUUGUAGAAUUUGUUUCUGAGAAACAGAAGCCACUGAGUCAAAGUUCAAAAUAACUAGGUUUGCAUCUCUGAAAAGCUGUUUUCUAGCUGGGCGAAGAAGUCUCUUUCACCCAAUCGUAUGUAUGAACUCUUGCUUUCCUCCCUGACGGGACUGGAAGCUCUUUUUACAGUCACGAUAUGGCUCUGGUCUGUGGUCCUAGACCAAGUUUUCAUGGUACUCCCCUCUUUGGCCUCACACUUCCUCACGAAACUUCAGUGCUGCCUCAUGGCCUGCAGGAUAAAGUCCAAGUUCCUCAACAUAGUAUUUGAGUGGCCAUGGGCCUGGCUACCCCCGCACCCUUAUCUUGGUCUUUCCAUUAUAACAGCUCCCCAUGGCUCAUAGUUCACUGCUGCAUCUCUGUGCUUUUGCUCAUGGUUCCACUCUGCCUAGAACCCUCACCUACCCAUACCCCUAGGCGAGCUGCUACAAGGUUCCUGCCUCCUUCCUCUGUGUGUGACCUCUGCCCCAACACUUGGCAUCCCUCUCUCAUUGCACUGGCCACAUCCUGUAACAUUGAUCAGCUUCAUGGUUUUACUCUCACUAGACAGUGAGGUCCUUUGGGGAGAAACACUGUCUUACCUCUCUCUCUGAAUCUCCACCAUGGAGAACCACGCCCAGCACACAGUAGGCAUUCAGUAAAUAUGUGUUGGGUGAAGGGGUAAAUGAAGGAAAUGUCCAUGUUCUCCCUUCAGUUGAAACUCAAAUGUCCUUUAGAAGAUUGAACACUAAGUUUGAAACCACCCUGACUGUUGCUGCCUCCAUCCAACCUCUUGGCAGGUGUAUAUUUUGUGCCUUUUAUCCUCGUAACCUCAUUUCUCUUUUUAUUCCCCUCUGUCACUUCAAUGGCGUGCCAACCUCCAUGCACUGAGCAGCUGAUAAGGCUGGAAGCCUGGCAAUGGUAACUACCAGAAAGUUUCGACUCCCAGAGAUGGUCAUGGACUUUCCCAAAAUAUGUUCCUGGGGCCCCAAAGUGUGUGGUGGGAGACAAUGCUUUCUAUUUUAUGUAAACCAAGGAGAACUUGGCAUGCAAGUGUGGGGGUGCCACAGCAGGAAUAUGGAAUUCCAUCCCAGACUCUUCUCACUCAGGUUGGAAAUGUGCAAACAGCAGCUAGAGAAAUAUCCAUCUGGAUUACUGCAGACACGAUCAGGGCUUUGUGUGGAAGGUUAGGCUAAGUGACCUCAACAUUCUCUGUCCCUAUAUUGGCAGGUCUCGGUCUUUGAGUUCAAAUUUGAUAACCUGCAGUGAGUUUUUGCUGGGACUGUGAUUUGGACCCAAUUAUCUCAUUUCCCAUUUCUUCCCUCCCCAGUGGAGACUGGAAAGACUCUGAGCCCCUGCACAUCCCUUCUCCUGGCUCUUCACUACAGAGGGCUUGAGGCUUCUCCUCUCCUUGGUUCUUCCAAGGUCCAACCUAUGAAAACAAAAGUGAAAAUUUGAGUUAUAAAUACCGUCACCAAAAUGUAAAUGACUAGAAAUAGCCACUCUUGAGUCUUACUGACACACAUACAGAAAAUAUGUGACAUCUCCCUGGUGACUCAAGGCAGUGUGAACAGCAGCAGCAGUGGGCUUGAUAGUGAUGCUUUACAUGCCUUUGGCACAAGCACCUCCCUGGAACUUAGCUAGGCGUCUGUAGCUAAUCUUCAGCCACAGGACCUUCUGGCAUCUUCCAUGGCCUACCUGUCAGUUUGAAGAUUGACAGCAGCUUGGAGCCCUCACCCAGACGAGCAGCAAAAGAGGAAAAUAAUGAGUAAUUCAUGAAAGAGUCACCAUCAAGGGACUCUUGGGACUAUUUGAGAGAAACCUGGGCUGGGGGGAGGGGAGUGCUGGAGCCCUACAGAGCAGCAGGGGGCAGUGCCAGAGAAAUAUUAUUCUGUGGCUGUUACCACAAUUCUAAGCCACAGCAAAAUGGAUGGUUUCCCUUUAUUGUUUUGUUGCAUUCAGACAAUCUGGACUAAGAUGGCUGGUUCCUGAGGAGGAGUUUGGAAGUAAAGAGGAAUGGUGAUUUGGGACUCAUAAAGACAUCCCGAAAGUGGGGGUUGGGAGAGCAGGAUAGCAGAGACCUGCCACUGGCAAUGCAGGGCUCUCAGUGGAGUGUCCUGGCAGACUGUGAGGGCAGGGAGGAAUCUGUUGUUUGACAGCAGUGAAGGGGGCAAUACCCCUUUUAUUGUAAUUAUCCAGUGGCUGACAAAGGAAGGUUUUCUUGACUCAUGUGAACCCAGGAAAUAGGGCCUUCGAGUCCUUUGCCUGGCGUGGCAGGGCAGUGGCACAGGUUCUGCACAAGGCAGGAAAAUGGGACCUGAUGCCACUGCCUGUCACAUCCGUGCUAAAGAAAGGCACAAUGCUCAAGGCCCAUCGCACGUGAUGCCCAUUUCUGCACCAUUACUACCCACCCCUCCUACACCCUGCAAGACUCAUGGGAUGGACCUUUUAGGGAGUAAAAAAAGGAAAGAAAAACUGUAAACAUUCACAAGGCAUAGAGAGACUGAAUCCCAAAGUGCACACAAAUACCAUUAAUACCCCCAGCUCCCAAAUCUCCCCCAGGCCAGUCUUCCUGGCCUCCCAAGACCAGAGAGAAGUGGCCUCUCUCAAUGCGAAAUGAUCUCUAAAUGCCAAGAGGUGUUUUUGAAUAGAAUCAUGCAAAACUUAAAAGGGUCCUCAUGAAACAGAUGAAGAUGAUGGAUACAACAGUACCACCUGCAGUCAAACCAUCUCAACCUGCAAGAGGAGCCUCUGGCUAAAGGUCAGUUAUUUCGCAGGCUGGAGAUUAAUCACAGAGCUCAAGAAUAUGAAAGCAAAGAGAAACAGAAAGGAGGGAGAGGUGGAAAAGGAACCUGUAACCUCCAUUUUCUCUCUCUGGGAGCCACAUAUAGUGAAGAAAAAGCAUCAGGGUUGGGAGGUCUGGUGUGGUUAGGAGGUCCAGUGUGGGUGGUAUUCUAAAUGUCAACAUAAACGGUAAGUCCACCCACUUCCCUCUACCAGAACUUUGCCCUUUACUGCUUCUAAAAGGAUGGGUCAUAGGGAAUAAAAGAGGGAGACAGGAUAAGAGGAAAGCAAAGACAUGACCUCGCCUUUUCCCUUUAAGACCUUGGGCAAGUCACACUCCCUAUCCUGGGCUGCCUGACAUGCUAGCUGGGAAUUUUCUGACUUUCCCUGGCAUCACUGUAGUAUUACAGCCAGAUCAUAACCUGAGAGCUGAUGCGCUUCCUCACCUAAAAUGGAACAGACGGGAGGGAGGGUGGAAUGCUGUUUGUGUUCAGGUAUGAGUCAUUACCAUGCAUCCCACUUCCUUGAACCUGACUCUUAAUUGCAUGCUUUAGCCAAGAUUCAGCAAAAGGAGAGCUUGGGAGUAAGUCUCCAUUGGCAGAGAGCACCCAUGUUGUUUGCUGCUCAUUUUUCUACCCAUGGGAAAAAGAACUCCUAACCUCUGGAGUCAGUAGUCUGGCCACGAAAACUCAUCCAAGUGACUUGGGGAAGAGAUAAGAUUCCCUGGCCCCAGGUGGUGCAGAGAAGUGGGUGGUACCUCCUGGAGUCCCCAUUCCUUCUAUUAUAUGUGGUUUUCAUAGUGGAUUAGAGGCUUCAUGGCAGUGAAGUGCCAAUAAGAAGAAGGUUUCUCUUCAUGGAUUGCUUUGCGCUCCUCCUCCUGCAAGACAGUGAGUCUCCACAGGCCCAUGAAUGUCAUAAGUGAGUGCAAGCUUGAAGAAGCACCUAUCCUGUGCUCAGGACAAAAUAUCUGUGGUCCAGAGCAGAGCUCCCAACCCAGCUACUAUGAACCACGCUAGGCCCCAGAAAAGAAAGGAAAACAGAAGAGACAUUGGAUUGGAUCUUCCAGAAGGUCUUUGUUGCAAUUUUUCUCCAUCAUUGAAAAAAAAAUUACAUCAUCAAAUAAAGACAAUAGCAGCACAGCUUA
Homo sapiens (human) is the source of this 6852-nucleotide long non-coding RNA. RefSeq annotates it as KCNK10 antisense RNA 1. The record is from RefSeq and is a predicted model, not a curated record. The transcript is spliced from 2 exons. Lineage: Eukaryota; Metazoa; Chordata; Mammalia; Primates; Hominidae.